This 492-nucleotide ribosomal RNA is filed under the name uncultured Agrococcus sp. Its description in RNAcentral is "bacterial SSU rRNA". It matches the Rfam family "Bacterial small subunit ribosomal RNA", at positions 373 to 875 of the family's 1533-position model. The record is from RNAcentral. Lineage: Bacteria; Bacillati; Actinomycetota; Actinomycetes; Micrococcales; Microbacteriaceae.
GGGCGCAAGCCUGAUGCAGCAACGCCGCGUGAGGGACGACGGCCUUCGGGUUGUAAACCUCUUUUAGCAGGGAAGAAGCGAAAGUGACGGUACCUGCAGAAAAAGCACCGGCUAACUACGUGCCAGCAGCCGCGGUAAUACGUAGGGUGCAAGCGUUGUCCGGAAUUAUUGGGCGUAAAGAGCUCGUAGGCGGUUUGUCGCGUCUGCUGUGAAAACCCGAGGCUCAACCUCGGGCCUGCAGUGGGUACGGGCAGACUAGAGUGCGGUAGGGGAGAUUGGAAUUCCUGGUGUAGCGGUGGAAUGCGCAGAUAUCAGGAGGAACACCGAUGGCGAAGGCAGAUCUCUGGGCCGUAACUGACGCUGAGGAGCGAAAGCGUGGGGAGCAAACAGGCUUAGAUACCCUGGUAGUCCACGCCGUAAACGUUGGGAACUAGAUGUGGGGACCAUUCCACGGUCUCCGUGUCGUAGCUAACGCAUUAAGUUCCCCGCCUG